Molecule: ribosomal RNA, 714 nt
Filed under: uncultured bacterium
Lineage: Bacteria
Description: partial 16S ribosomal RNA
Rfam family: Bacterial small subunit ribosomal RNA
Source: RNAcentral
AAGCCCCGGCUAACUAAGUAACCAGCAGCCGCGGUAAUACGGAGGGGGCUAGAGAAGAACGGGAUUACUGGGCGUAAAGCGCGCGUAGGCGGACCUGCAAGUCGGGGGUGAAAUCCCGAGGCUCAACUUCGAAAACUGCCUUCGAUACUGCGGGUCUCGAGUCCGGGAGAGGUGAGUGGAAUUCCUAGUGUAGAGGUGAAAUUCGUAGAUAUUAGGAAGAACACCAGUGGCGAAGGCGGCUCACUGGCCCGGUACUGACGCUGAGGCGCGAAAGCGUGGGGAGCAAACAGGAUUAGAUACCCUGGUAGUCCACGCCGUAAACUAUGGGUGCUAGCCGUCGGUCGGCAUGCCGGUCGUUGGCGCAGCAAACGCAUUAAGCACCCCGCCUGGGGAGUACGGUCGGGGGGGGGGGGGGCAAAAGAAUUGACGGGGGCCCGCACAAGCGGUGGAGCAUGUGGUUUAAUUUCGAGGCAACGCGAAGAACCUUACCAGCCCUUGACAUCCCCGGUCGCGGGAAAGCAGAGACGCACUCCUUUCAGUUCGGCUGGGACCGGUGACAGGUGCUUGCAUGGCUUGUCGUCAGCUUCGUGUCGUGAGAAUGUUGGGUUAAGUCCCCGUAACGAGCGCAACCCUUGUCCUUAUUUACCCAGCACGUAAUUGGUGGGAAACUCUAAGGAGACUGGCCGGUGAAAAACCGGAGGGAAGGUGGGGGAU